UACGUAGGGGGCAAGCGUUGUCCGGAUUUAUUGGGCGUAAAGAGCGUGUAGGCGGCUGGGUAGGUCCGCUGUGAAAACUCGAGGCUCAACCUCGAGACGUCGGCGGAAACCAUCCAGCUAGAGUCCGGAAGAGGAGAGUGGAAUUCCUGGUGUAGCGGUGAAAUGCGCAGAUAUCAGGAAGAACACCCGUGGCGAAAGCGGCUCUCUGGGACGGUACUGACGCUGAGACGCGAAAGCGUGGGGAGCGAACAGG
RNAcentral lists this ribosomal RNA (253 nucleotides) under uncultured bacterium. RNAcentral's name for it is "partial 16S ribosomal RNA". It matches the Rfam family "Bacterial small subunit ribosomal RNA", at positions 524 to 776 of the family's 1533-position model. The record is from RNAcentral.